AAGGGGACACGUGUCAGCCACUGAAGUAAGGCGCGUGCGUGUCGAUAGCCCACAACCAGGUGAUUUUGUCAUUGCUUACGACACCAGUUUUGGAGCGUGGCGGCACUGGCAAUACGGUCCCAGAGAACCGAACUCUCCUCGGGUUUCGCGUGGGGUCGGUGAGCUUCCACGUGCGGAUUUGAGAAACGGUUGGGAGAGGACCGACACGUAUGUAGGUACGCGCGUGCGGGUAGGUCGUUCAAAAUGAUGACGUAAUUUUUCAUCACCAAUGCUUGCGGGUGCAGUGUUAAAAUUUACAUUAAUUUUCAAUUUAUUUAAAAUAUUUUUUGCACUUAAAAUGUAUUAAUUGUUUCUUAAUUAAGACAUAAUAAUCUUUGACUUA
This is a long non-coding RNA of Carica papaya (papaya), 382 nucleotides long. RefSeq lists it as uncharacterized. The record is from RefSeq and is a predicted model, not a curated record. Lineage: Eukaryota; Viridiplantae; Streptophyta; Magnoliopsida; Brassicales; Caricaceae.